CAGCCGCCGCGGUAAUACGUAGGGUCCGAGCGUUGUCCGGAAUUAUUGGGCGUAAAGAGCUCGUAGGCGGUCUGUCGCGUCUGCCGUGAAAUCCUCAGGCUCAACCUGAGGCGUGCGGUGGGUACGGGCAGGCUAGAGUGCGGUAGGGGAGAAUGGAACUCCUGGUGUAGCGGUGGAAUGCGCAGAUAUCAGGAAGAACACCGAUGGCGAAGGCAGUUCUCUGGGCCGUAACUGACGCUGAGGAGCGAAAGCGUGGGGAGCGAACAGGAUUAGAUACCCCUGUAGUCCCUGUCUCUUAUAC
Molecule: ribosomal RNA, 301 nt
Filed under: uncultured bacterium
Lineage: Bacteria
Description: partial 16S ribosomal RNA
Rfam family: Bacterial small subunit ribosomal RNA
Source: RNAcentral